Molecule: long non-coding RNA, 435 nt
Filed under: Equus asinus (donkey)
Lineage: Eukaryota; Metazoa; Chordata; Mammalia; Perissodactyla; Equidae
Description: lncRNA (ENSEASG00005029039.1)
Source: RNAcentral
UUAAGAAGCAGGAAUACAACGUUCUUUGCUUUUAGCUUUACACUUUUCCAUAAGUCGUGUAGUAUCAGCUUCACAGGAAGGAUUUAGUCAGGUUUUGAUCCAAAAAGAGUUUUAUCUUUACAACAAUCCUGUGACACGAAGAAUUGGUGGGAGGUAAUGUCAGCAAGAUGGUGGAAUAGAAGUUUACUAUUGUUAUCCCCCUACGGAGCAUUGAUUUUGACAAACACUCAUAGUGCAACCAUUCAGCUCAGACUAUGCCCUGAAGCACAGACUUAACGUCCCCUACCAAGAAUCACUUAUCAUGCCUUAUCUGGUAGAAGUAUAAUUUCCACGUCAAAGGAGAAGUUGAUAAUUCAACUAAUUUCAUCUGCUUUUAGUAAAAAUCAUCUGAUAUUUAAUAAAACGAACAAUUAAAAAUAAAAGGGACACAAAGAA